UACAGAGGUAGCGAGCGCUAAUCGGAAUUACUGGGCGUAAAGCGCACGUAGGUGGCGACGUAAGUCGGGUGUGAAAGCCCCGGGCUCAACCUGGGAAUUGCAUUCGAGACUGCAUUGCUGGAGUACGGAAGAGGAGGGCGGAAUUCCCGGUGUAGCGGUGAAAUGCGUAGAUAUCGGGAGGAACAUAAGUGGCGAAGGCGGCCCUCUGGUCCAGUACUGACACUCAAGUGCGAAAGCGUGGGGAGCAAACAGG
This 253-nucleotide ribosomal RNA is filed under the name uncultured bacterium. RNAcentral describes it as "partial 16S ribosomal RNA". It matches the Rfam family "Bacterial small subunit ribosomal RNA", at positions 524 to 776 of the family's 1533-position model. The record is from RNAcentral.